CCUACGUGAGGCAGCAGUGGGGAAUAUUGCACAAUGGGGGAAACCCUGAUGCAGCGACGCCGCGUGAGUGAAGAAGUAAUUCGUUAUGUAAAGCUCUAUCAGCAGGGAAGAAAAUGACGGUACCUGAGUAAGACUCCCCGGCUAACUACGUUCCAGCCGCCGCGGUAAUACGUAGGGGGCAAGCGUUAUCCGGAUUUACUGGGUGUAAAGGGAGCGUAGACGGCAGUGCAAGUCUGGAGUGAAAGGCGGGGGCUCAACCCCCGGACUGCUCUGGAAACUGUACGGCUGGAGUGCAGGAGAGGUAAGUGGAAGUCCUAGUGUAGCGGUGAAAUGCGUAGAUAUUAGGAGGAACACCAGUGGCGAAGGCGGCUUACUGGACUGUAACUGACGUUGAGGCUCGAAAGCGUGGGGAGCAAACAGGAUUAGAUACCCCAGUAGUC
RNAcentral lists this ribosomal RNA (440 nucleotides) under uncultured bacterium. RNAcentral describes it as "partial 16S ribosomal RNA". It matches the Rfam family "Bacterial small subunit ribosomal RNA", at positions 338 to 795 of the family's 1533-position model. The record is from RNAcentral.